RNAcentral lists this ribosomal RNA (427 nucleotides) under uncultured bacterium. RNAcentral's name for it is "bacterial SSU rRNA". It matches the Rfam family "Bacterial small subunit ribosomal RNA", at positions 355 to 774 of the family's 1533-position model. The record is from RNAcentral.
UGGGGAAUUUUGGACAAUGGGCGAAAGCCUGAUCCAGCCAUGCCGCGUGAGUGAAGAAGGCCUUCGGGUUGUAAAGCUCUUUUAGUCGGAAAGAAAGAGUUGCAAUGAAUAAUUGUGAUUUAUGACGGUACCGACAGAAAAAGCACCGGCUAACUACGUGCCAGCAGCCGCGGUAAUACGUAGGGUGCGAGCGUUAAUCGGAAUUACUGGGCGUAAAGGGUGCGCAGGCGGUCUUGCAAGUCAGAUGUGAAAGCCCCGGGCUUAACCUGGGAAUUGCGUUUGAAACUACAAGGCUAGAGUGCAGCAGAGGGGAGUGGAAUUCCAUGUGGAGCAGUGAAAUGCGUAGAGAUGUGGAAGAACACCGAUGGCGAAGGCAGCUCCCUGGGUUGACACUGACGCUCAUGCACGAAAGCGUGGGGAGCAAACA